GGUGCCAAAUGCUCUAGGUACGCCCCUGGUCAGCCUCAAGCCUUUAACAGAGAAAAUUGUACAAGAUGCACACACUGAAGGGGAGUAGCACCUAGGAAGUGCUCCAGAAGGGGGAGGCACUCGAAAAUUGAAAAAAAGCCCAGGCACACCCAGAGGUUUCCUCAGAAAGACAGACUUUAUUCAGUCAGCGUUACGGCUCUCACAUGAGCCUUUGUCAGUGGCUGCGCUGUGUGCAGGCUAUUUCAGCUGCCUGUUUUCAGUAUUCUCUUGCGCCCUGUUUUUUGCUCUUCAUAAGUUUAAAGGGUAAUCCAGAAGUGGACCUAUUGCUCACGGUGCCUUAAGAGAUAUCAGCUAUACCUCACUGAUGAUGCCUAACAGACUGAAACAAUUGUCUGGGGUUGCUGUGUCUCUCGUGCAGAGGGAAC
Non-coding RNA from Pelobates cultripes (western spadefoot toad), 425 nucleotides. NCBI's taxonomy places the organism in Eukaryota, Metazoa, Chordata, Amphibia, Anura, Pelobatidae. The record is from the annotation of a GenBank genome assembly.